UAUACCAAGCAAGGUACCCCGGUGAAACCUCACCUUUGGACCGAUCACGUACACAUGUAUUUGCUGUUAAGUACUGACCCUCGCUCCAUAUUUGGUGAACUGUUGCUUCAUGAAACUGGCAUUAGGUUCGAUCUUUACUUGGAUACUAAGAUCUUCAUCCAUUGGAACUAUUUGACAUCUCCCCAACAGCCUCAAAACCUAAUACGAGGCAUUAGGUUGGAUACUCCUAAGUCCCAUUAAUAGGAAAUGAGGUCCGGUGGCUGGCAUGUAUAUGAUCUCUUCCACAUGAAGCCAUCCAAAUGUCCACUCUAUUUGGCUUGUAGUGACGGAACGGAGGCGUGUUACCCAAUCCAUGACCCCCUCUGGCAAACUAAUCCUAUCAACUCUUGUUGAAAAUUUCUCUAUACAUGUUUUCUCUGUCGACCCAUACCUCAUAAAUUGAGGAUGAUGGCAUGGUUGUUCGAUCAUCC
This 470-nucleotide long non-coding RNA is filed under the name Nicotiana benthamiana. Its description in RNAcentral is "long non-coding RNA (NBEN_LNC029044)". Lineage: Eukaryota; Viridiplantae; Streptophyta; Magnoliopsida; Solanales; Solanaceae. The record is from RNAcentral.